CCCUUUGUGACAUACCUAUAACUGUUGCUUCGGCGGGUAGGGUCUCCGCGACCCUCCCGGCCUCCCGCCUCCGGGCGGGUCGGCGCCCGCCGGAGGAUAACCAAACUCUGAUUUAACGACGUUUCUUCUGAGUGGUACAAGCAAAUAAUCAAAACUUUUAACAACGGAUCUCUUGGUUCUGGCAUCGAUGAAGAACGCAGCGAAAUGCGAUAAGUAAUGUGAAUUGCAGAAUUCAGUGAAUCAUCGAAUCUUUGAACGCACAUUGCGCCCGCCAGCAUUCUGGCGGGCAUGCCUGUUCGAGCGUCAUUUCAACCCUCAAGCUCUGCUUGGUGUUGGGGCCCUACAGCUGAUGUAGGCCCUCAAAGGUAGUGGCGGACCCUCCCGGAGCCUCCUUUGCGUAGUAACUUUACGUCUCGCACUGGGAUCCGGAGGGACUCUUGCCGUAAAACCCCCCAAUUUUCCAAAGGUUGACCUCGGAUCAGGUAGGAAUACCCGCUGAACUUAAGCAUAUCAA
RNAcentral lists this ribosomal RNA (514 nucleotides) under Colletotrichum gloeosporioides. RNAcentral's name for it is "eukaryotic LSU rRNA". The stretch from base 153 to 306 matches the Rfam family "5.8S ribosomal RNA". The record is from RNAcentral. Lineage: Eukaryota; Fungi; Ascomycota; Sordariomycetes; Glomerellales; Glomerellaceae.